This 201-nucleotide long non-coding RNA is filed under the name Jatropha curcas. Its description in RNAcentral is "long non-coding RNA (JCUR_LNC002339)". The record is from RNAcentral. Lineage: Eukaryota; Viridiplantae; Streptophyta; Magnoliopsida; Malpighiales; Euphorbiaceae.
GGCUUGCAAAUUAUUGACUACCCCGCGUGUCUAUCUUUCCAAGCAUUUCCAAGCAAAAAUAAAGAAAAAGAAAUAAACGAAAUAAAAAAUGAAAAAGAAAAAAUAAUAAUUGGCAAAGAAGAAAAUGAACAUACAUACAUUGCAUCUGACUGUGUGAACAGGGAAUAGGUCAGUGGAUGUUUGAAGAAGUUUGCCGAUUGU